RNAcentral lists this long non-coding RNA (836 nucleotides) under Triticum aestivum (bread wheat). RNAcentral's name for it is "long non-coding RNA (TAES_LNC017542)". The record is from RNAcentral. Lineage: Eukaryota; Viridiplantae; Streptophyta; Magnoliopsida; Poales; Poaceae.
AAACAACGGCAUUGGCGCAGACGCUUGGUGACCUUCACGUUGUUCCUCCAAGGCAGGCCAUGAGUGAUGGCAGCCGUGAGGUCAGCGUUGCUAGGAAAUAGGGAAAGGCUGCUGCCAAUUAUGCAAGAUACACACAUAGUUUGUGUUUGCUGUUUACAUGUCAGUUUUUUACCAUUUGAACUGUCUUUUAUAGACUGUAUAGUUCACAAAAAAGAAACUUUCGAUAAAGCAUAUAUGGGUUUGCAGUAGACCAUUCUAGACCAUAUUUCUUGAAUACAUAGUUUAUAGUAUUUUCUGGUUUUAAAUAUAUGAGAUUGCCCAUCUUAGUUAGUGGCACUGCUAUGCUUCACAGUAUACAAUGCUUGCAUGCCAAUAUAAUCAUAAGUGUUUUUUCGUUUUCAGGUGUUCUUAAUAUGGUGGGUGAUUGAAGCGAAAGCAUGAGGAGCAGUUCAAAGGGCGGAUGGAGCAUGUGACUUGUGUGGAAAUAACAAAUUUUCUUUUAGAUGAUUUGAGUGUAUGCUGAUGCGUGAAAGUCAAUCAUUUGGAUUCCCAACUAGCCUAUUGUGUGUGUUCAAUAUUUUGUUGCGCAUUGACAAAAUGUUUUCAGUGCCCGAGUGCGCAAGUUGAAUUUUGAAACAUAUGAGAGGAUAACCCUGCAAAAGGGAAUUUGCCCUUUAUGAAGGUUCGGGCUUGCUGUUGUAAUUAAAAGUAGGAGAUUUAUAUAUACCUAUAAUAGAAUAAUUCCUCAAGCUAAAGGCUUCUGUAACAUGUAACAUAUGAACUUUGUUUGUGCUAAUAAUUUUCCAGCCAUAGUAAAAGGCUAUGUUGCACAGGUA